Priapulus caudatus is the source of this 1690-nucleotide long non-coding RNA. RefSeq lists it as uncharacterized. The transcript has 5 exons. The record is from RefSeq and is a predicted model, not a curated record. Lineage: Eukaryota; Metazoa; Priapulida; Priapulimorpha; Priapulimorphida; Priapulidae.
AAGCCCACCGGCAUGCACGUGCUCAACCACAGAUAGGUGGAGCCACGGCUGCGCCUAUUCGAUCAGAGGAUUGUGGAGCAGCAAGCGUGAAUAUGCGACCACAGACAGUGGGGGGCGCCACUAGUGGGAAGGCCCAGGCGAAACCAAAGAAUAACUUUGAGAAGCUGAUGCUACGGUUACAGAAGAGUUUCCCUCAGCAGUCAAAGUCUGCACUGACGAAGCUGAUUAAAGGAGGUAAGGACGAGCGUGGCGGAACACUGUCUGGCAUGCCAUCGACACGAUCGUCGACAAGAUCCGAGAGAAGGUUGCAAAGCAGACAGAGAUGCAGCGUCAGUCACCUGCGUGGAAUGUGCCACCAAAAAGAAUCUCCAAAAGUCACAGUUCACCGAGCAGGAGGAUGAGGAGCCGUGUGUGAUUUGUCACGAGGAGAUUAAGAUUUCCCCUUCUCUGAAGCUAAAGUGUGGUCACAAGUAUCACACUGAGUGCAUCAAGCGAUGGUUGAAGAAGCAGAGCACAUGCCCCACAUGCAGAGUCCACGCUCUCAUCCCUGAUGAAUUCCCCGAGCUUAGUCGCAGCUAACUAACGCGUGCGUCGGUUCGGCAAAUAGAUCUCCUCGAGUGUUUGGUUUUGAAUGGUUAGUAGAUUGCCUAAACGCAAUAAAGCCAGUGAACGUUCCGUUGAAGAACACGUUGUGUUAAAGAACACGUUCUGUUGAAGAACAUGUUGCAUUAAAGAACACGUUCCGUUGAAGAACACGUUCUGUUAAAGAACACGAUCUGUUGAAGAACACGAUCUGUUGAAGAACACGUUCUGUUAAAGAACACCUUAUUAUAGCUUUAUGAACCAUGUUAUACUCGUAAACAGAAUAUUAUAACUGUGCACGCCAUGUUAUAAUCCACUAUAUAGUUCUAUUCCAAAUUGGAAGUUUUUAGUUAAUAGUUUUUCGUAGUUUUCCGUUUGAUUUUAUGAUCGUAGUAAUUAGAAAGAAAUAACGCGAAUCCUGUAUUUUGUUUAUAUAUUAUGUUGCCCUUUUAAAUGUGGUAGCAUACGCAUUUAAACCUUAUAUGUUCGCAGUUUGAAAAUCAUCUUAUGUGGAUUAUUUAUAAUCCUAGUGAUGUAGUUUGAAAUCAGAUCGGUCUUCACAUCACAAUCAAAUCACAUCUUGUCAGAUUGGGUUUUCACUCGCAUAAAUUAAUGACGAUGUUGUUGAAACAUGGCGCUGCAUUUGCGCUUUCUUACGAGUGACGCAUGGAUGAUAUUUUACAGGCUGAUGUUAACGGUAGUAUCUGGUGAUUUCCCAUGAUGAUGCAGAUAUUAAUCCUGGAUGGAUCUUUACGUCACAAUCUUCAUUACACAAUUUAUUUUUGUGAUUGGCAAUUUAAAAUUGGAUUUCAAUUAAUGUAGAUUCAUUUGGCUAGAGUGUAAAAGUAGUGGGCGAGACAGCUCUACAGUAUUGAAGCGUGGUUGCCUGCGAUCAUAUAUGUCAUCAAUAGAUGUUUACUACGGAUCGUGAUGUGUGAUCGUGAACUGGAGAUUCCUUACCUUGGCCUGAGUUUAUUUUAUAAAAAAUCUAUUGCGGAGGUCAUCGGGAGUUUAAAACCAACUCCUGAUCAUAUUUUUUUUACAUGUAAUUAAAGAUUUUUGAUUAAAAAUUUAAGCGUAGGACUUACGCGUUUGCAUUUUUUAUGUA